RNAcentral lists this non-coding RNA (244 nucleotides) under Sphingomonas sp. The record is from RNAcentral. Lineage: Bacteria; Pseudomonadati; Pseudomonadota; Alphaproteobacteria; Sphingomonadales; Sphingomonadaceae.
GGGGGACACGAUCGCGUUGGUGCCUUCCGAAAGGGGCUUAAAAGGGAACGCGGUGAGAGGGGCUACCCCUCGAAGCCGAGGCUGUCCCUGCAACUGUAAGCGGUGAGCGCGAUGCAUAUCGCGGCAGGCCAAUGUGCCCUGCCGCAGCCACUGGGCCGGACGCUAACUCCUGCGAGGCCUGGGAAGGCCGUGCAUCGCGUGACGACCCGUAAGCCAGGAGACCUGCCAGCGUCCGGUCGCUCUU